AGCUCCAAUAGCGUAUAUUAAAGUUGUUGCAGUUAAAAAGCUCGUAGUUGGAUUUCUGGGAGGGUGCCAAUGUCCGCCGAUGUGCGUGCGCAGCGGCGCCCUUUCAUCCUUCUGUUAACGGUACUCGGCAUUUAUUUGCUGGUAUCGGGCUCAGAUAUUUUACCUUGAGAAAAUUAGAGUGUUUCAGGCAGGCUUGGCCGGAAUACAUUAGCAUGGAAUAAUGGAAUAGGACUACGGUCUCUUUGUUGGUUUGAGGGACUGCAGUAAUGAUUAAUAGGGAUAGUUGGGGGCAUUAGUAUUUAAUUGUCAGAGGUGGAAUUCUCGGAUUUGUUAAAGACUAACUUAUGCGAAAGCAUUUGCCAAGGAUGUUUUCA
RNAcentral lists this ribosomal RNA (374 nucleotides) under uncultured eukaryote. Its description in RNAcentral is "SSU rRNA". It matches the Rfam family "Eukaryotic small subunit ribosomal RNA", at positions 587 to 972 of the family's 1831-position model. The record is from RNAcentral.